This is a long non-coding RNA of Vidua chalybeata, 1130 nucleotides long. RefSeq lists it as uncharacterized. The transcript is spliced from 4 exons. Lineage: Eukaryota; Metazoa; Chordata; Aves; Passeriformes; Viduidae. The record is from RefSeq and is a predicted model, not a curated record.
AAGGGACCCAUCAAGAUCAUCGGCUCCAACUCCUGGCCCUGCACAAGACACUCCAAGAAUCACAUGAUGUGCCUGAGAGCAUUGUCCAAACACUCCCUAAGCUCAGAGAGGCUUGGUCCUGUAACCACUUCCUUGGAGAGCCUGUUCCAGUGCCCAAGCACUCUCUGGUUGAAAAACCUUUUCCUGGUAUCUAACCUAAACCUUCCCUGACACAGCUUCAUGUGAUGGUAGUGACAGUUUUUGGGCCUCAGCUCCUGAGACACAAUGUCUCAGGGAAGACAUUCAGCUUGGCCUAAGUCAGCACUCAGCACAUUACCUGGAGGGCUCAAGGCACAGUGAGAGGCAUCCUCUCAGCAACAUGAUUCAGAACUGGCACUGCAUCACAUUGGCAGAGAAGUAACAGGCCCUCCUUCAGGGAUGCAGUGACACGAGUGAACACAGCUCAUGUGUUGCAAAAUGCAAAUGCUACUGGUUUGACCUGAUCUGGGCAUGCACCAAUUUUCCUUCACAUCAUCCAGUUACUUCUGAUAUAUAAAAUGCUUCUGGCUCAUUAGACCUGGAAGGAAAUCCAAGUUGUUAUUUUCAGGAAGCCAGAAGUAUCUGCAGCUUGUGCAGAUUGGUUUUGACAUCUGCUGCCUUUCAAAAAAAGGAGCCAAUACUGAGAAUUCACACCUGGAUUUUCAUCUCUAGUUAAAAGACACCUCCAAAACUUCCUAAUGUAGUUGCUGUACAUACUGAUCAAGCAAGCUUUCUUGUCACAGUGACUGUCAGUCCUGUUCCACAUGACUGAACUGAAACCUAUAGUCCUGGAAAGAGGGAAGAUGAAGCCAGUGAGGGAAAGAUUUUAGCUGCAAGUUCACAACAGGAUAUUUUGGAGGAAAGCAAUUCCCCAGUCUGUCUUUCCAAUACCCCUCUCAGACACAUUUUCUAAAACUUGGUAAAAAGUCCCAUCUGGAGCUGUUUUAUGCUGCAGAUGUUUACACAUUUAUCUCUAGGAAUGACAGGAUCUUGAUAGCCUUCAGCAUAGUGUCUUCUUCACAUUCCACAGUCCUUUCUCCUUGCACAUUACUGGAUGGAGAGCACAGCUAGAAAGUCAGAAGAUACAACUGAAAAAAGAAACAGAAGUGUGA